Molecule: long non-coding RNA, 769 nt
Organism: Actinia tenebrosa (Australian red waratah sea anemone)
Lineage: Eukaryota; Metazoa; Cnidaria; Anthozoa; Actiniaria; Actiniidae
Source: RefSeq, a predicted model, not a curated record
UGUACUUGAAUACACAGCCGCAGUAAAAUCGAAAUGGGAAAAUAUAUAAAACAAGUUAUAAACAGUUUUGUUCUAUUUAGAUCAAUCAAUUCUAUCGGUCCGGGAGAGUCGGCGCGGUUGGUUUCCCAUCAGGGAUCAUGUGAACCUCAUAAAAAAUUUUAGCUUGUUUCAGAACUGGAUUAACUUCAUGGCGGAAGCUCGGACAUGUAUUCCAAAAAAGGAAAGGAAAAUAGAUUUUGGAUUCUGUUGCGUGCAUCAGACGAUAAAGCGAAUAACACGAACAAUGCUUCAAAUUCCGGUUUCCAAAUAGGCAUCCUUUCACUGUAAAAGAAUUCGAAACGAAUGAAAUAAGAAGGGAAAUUGGUCCAAUAGCUAGGGACGCCUUUGGAUGUUUUGCAUACUAUUGGUCACUUAGCAAAAAGACGUGGUUUUGCCGUUCAUGACAGGAGCCACUACGCUUCUACCAGGCCACUAAAGAAAAGAUUUCAUGGUCCAAAAAGAUUGCAUUUCUCAAAAGAAUAGGAAUGGCGCCCAAGUGUAGCGUCGUUGUUUACAAUUUUUGGAAUGCCUGCAUUCAAAAUCAACWAAAGGGAAUAACUUGUAGUGCAUAUUUGACAGCUAUCACUCAUAGUAUCUCAGACGAUGGCAUCCUUCAACACCGAACAGCCAAAUAUGUCAAAACCCAUCAUUAGCAAUAGAAAAAUUAGCUACGAUUUCCUUAAAUACAUAAAAAAGGAAUUAUUAUAUGUAAUAAAGUGUUAAACUGCGA